UUCUUUGCAUUCUUCGCAAGA
Molecule: non-coding RNA, 21 nt
Organism: Caenorhabditis elegans
Lineage: Eukaryota; Metazoa; Nematoda; Chromadorea; Rhabditida; Rhabditidae
Source: Ensembl